This is a long non-coding RNA of Ictalurus punctatus (channel catfish), 2644 nucleotides long. Lineage: Eukaryota; Metazoa; Chordata; Actinopteri; Siluriformes; Ictaluridae. The record is from Ensembl.
CCUCUCCCUCUCGCGCUCUCUCAUUUCUCUCGCCCUCCUUCUCGCUCUCUCUCAUUUCUCUCGCCCUCCCUCUCCCUCAUUUCUCUCUCUUCCUACUUCUUGCUCUCUCUCGCCCUCCUUCUCGCUCUCCCUCAUUCUCUCUCUCUCCGUCUCCCUCCUUCUCGCUCUCCCUCAUUUCUCUCUCCCUCCCUCUCCCUCUCCCUCCUUCUCGCUCUCCCUCAUUUCUCUCUCUCUCUAAGAGAGAAGACGAAAAACCCCACAGCUAAUCAUGUUAAGAAGAAACCGGAAUGAACAAAACCUCCGUCGUUAACAUUUUCUCAUGAAGCUUACUGAAUAUUACAAGCGCACUGGCAUUCACUCCGUACAUGUGAAAUAAAUAUUUUCUCAUGGAAAGUUUCACCAUAUCGACGAUGAUAUAUUUUUCUAAUCCAUCUAAAUCACUAGAUUGCGGAGUAUCUUAGAACUCUACGUAGAAAUGAGCAGGUGUCGGACCGAGCACAUGAAUAUAAACCUGUGAUUUGAAUUACAGCCAAUCGACACCUCCAGACCAAUCAGAUUUGAGAAUUCAACAGCACCGCCGAAAUAAAUUUCCCUUCCGAACGUUUCAGUACUUCUCUCGGUAUCGAGUAGAGCUGGGUAAAGUUGAGAAACUUUCAUAGCAGUCUGAUGAUUACAUUUUACAUGAAGGUUCCCUUAACUGACAUUACUUAUUAAAACACUAGGGCUGUGCAUGACCGUAUGGUCCAUGAUAUACCAGUACAAUUGCGGUGGAAGUUCGGCGUUGCGACCCUAGACAAGGAAGGAGAAUUAAUCCCCAGAAAAGGCGCUUCGGUUGGAAUAUCGAAGGGGUUCGGAUACAUCAAAACAGAUGUGAAUCAAACACCUGUGAUUGCUCAAAAACCCACAAAGCAAAGAGUGGAAACACAUCAAAUGUUCCACCACCUCGAGCAAAAACAAAUACACGGAAGGCCAGAAGCUCAGGAGAAAGCGUCAACAAGUAACGUCAAAAAGAUAGUAACUAUUUUCACAUCGUCAUUUAUAUUUAUACAUUACCACAAAACAUGACCAUGAGAUAUCGUGAUAGAGUUUUCAAUCUAUAUCACCCAUCCCUACUUAACACUUUAACUAACAUGAACAAACCAUGAACUUCUGACUAUCGGUCAUUAACGUUUGUAUGAGUCACAUUUAGAUAUUAGUUAGGUAAGUGAAAUGCAGCCCAUAAUGAUCAGUGUGAACACCUGGAGACCAGAGUCCAGCACCUUAGCAACAGUAAUGAAGCUUUUGAUCUCUAACGUACACGGAUGUAUUAGGCAUUGACGGAAUAAACAUUGGCUAAUGUAUGUGGAUUUCACUGACGUUUAAACAAGCAUCAAUUAACACCUUGUUAAAUGAAGCGGUUUAAUAGUGAUGUUUAGGGUGCGUUAUUGUUAAUUAACGCUGUUAGUUACGGGAACCUUCACGUUAAUAAUCGAGUGUAAAUGUGAUGUUAUUCUGUAUGCUACCGGUACUGUACAUGGAGACAAGAAAAAAUGAUCUUAAGACAAUCUUCUUAACAACUGAUCCACAAUCCUCUCUUCUGCGCUGUCCAGUCAUCCUCAUGUCCAAUCAUCUGCAUGUGCAGUCAUCCUCAGAUGUAAUUAUCUCCAUGUCCAAUCAUCCUCAUGUCCAGUCAUCCUCAGAUGUAAUUAUCUUCAUGUCCAGUCAUCUUCAUGUCCAAUCAUCCUCAGAUGUAAUUAUCCUCAUGUCCUGUCAUCCUCAUGUCCAAUCAUCCUCAUGUCGUCAUUCUCAUGUCCAGUCAUUCUCAUAUCCAAUCAUCCUCAUGUCCAAUCUUCCUCAGGUGUAAUCAUCUUCAGCACAUUUUAGCAGUACUCAAUACACACACACACACACACACACACACACACACACACAAAGAGAAUGGCUUCCGGAGUGUGGGCGAGGACAUCGGACUAGUCAAUACAAUCACUGAGUAAAAAUAAAACACGCGCAGCCUUUAUUAGAAACGGCUGUGUAAAGCAGGAAAAGCCUGUACACUCACUGCUAUACAACAACAAAGAUGAACCAUCUCUGAGCACUGCCUUUAGCAGACAACACACACACACACACACACACACACACACACACACACACACACACACACAAGCUCUAUGGCUUUGAACCAUUCGAAUGUGGUUAAAUAUCAUUUACAAAAACAAUUCUCCCAAUGAAGGAGCCAUAAAGAGAAGCACUUAUCCUCAAUCAGUGUUAUUGUUACACUCAUAUGAUACAGUAAUAUCUCUCUCACACACACACACACACACACACACACACACACACACACACACACACACACACGUGAUGCUUUCUACACAGCAUUAAGGUGUCAGCGCAAGAGCAAGUACACGAUAUCAAAGCUAAUUAAUACCCAUUUUUUAUACACACACACACACACACACACACACACACACACCCAGCAGCAUCGCAUCAUUAUUACAAUUGGUACUAUAAGCAAUAAUACUAUUGCUGUGUAAAUGAAUGGCAGGUAAAGAUUUCCAUCUCAGUGGGAAGAAAAAAAAAAAGUCCACCCUGGAACUGAAGCCUGCAGAGAGCAGAGUGUACGUACACACACACACACACACACACACACACACACACACACACACAC